GCAUAAUCAAUAGUUUUUUAAUUGAAAACUGGGAUGAAAGGUAGAUACUAAAAAGAAAGUUUUAUUAAAUUAGAUUUGAAUUUAAAUUAAAAGUAAAAAUGCUUUUAUUAAUUCUUGGGACGAGAAGACCCUAGAAGCUUAAAAUUUUAAUAUUUUGGAUUGGGGCAAUUGUGGUGAAGAAAGGAAUUUUUAAAUUUUUAUAUUUGGAACAGUAAAAGUUACUCUAGGGAUAACAGCAUUAUUUAGUUAGCGAGUUCUUAUUAAUAACUAAGUUUGUGACCUCGAUGUUGAAUUAAUA
RNAcentral lists this ribosomal RNA (298 nucleotides) under Metamitobates squalidus. RNAcentral's name for it is "partial 16S ribosomal RNA". The record is from RNAcentral. Lineage: Eukaryota; Metazoa; Arthropoda; Arachnida; Opiliones; Gonyleptidae.